Molecule: long non-coding RNA, 1165 nt
Organism: Conger conger (European conger)
Lineage: Eukaryota; Metazoa; Chordata; Actinopteri; Anguilliformes; Congridae
Exons: 3
Source: RefSeq, a predicted model, not a curated record
AACGACAACAGCUGCCCCAACUACAACAGCUGCCCCAACUACAACAGGUGCUCCGACUACAACAGCUGCUCCAACUACAACAGAUCUCACGACCCUGGCAAGACUGGAAGUUUCCGUCAAUUCCGCAGUUGAACUUAACACUUGUACAAUAACUCCAUUUGUGGAAGAGGUCGAACAAAGACUCCGGGGUCGUUUUAACGGAACCAUUAAGUUUACAGUUAAGUCCAUAAGAAGAAAGGGGCAAAACGAAUCGCAAUUUAAUUUAAUCAACCCUGUAACAUCUUGUCCAUCUCCAGCACCUGUUUCUUAGUGAUUUUUUCCAACAGCUGAUCUUCGUCUCCAGCAUACUUCUUCACCGUUCCUCACCUGUUCUGUCGUGGACUGCAGUGCCAAUUGUCAAAUCAGGUCUGCCCAAUCCUGUUCCACGAACUCUCUCAUCCUUUACCUUUUAAUUUCAACCAUAAUUUACAUUUUACUCAUUUGGCAGAAGCUUUUAAUCCAAAGCGAUUUACAAGGUUCUUCCACAGGUUAAAGCAUCAAAUUCAUAACUCGUAAAAUACGCGUGAACGGCUGUUCUAAACGAAAAGACAGUCAUCUUAAGUGCAAAUUAUUAUUAUUAUUUUUGGGUUAGGGUUAGACAAAAGGACUAUCGGAAGGGGCCGGGAAAUCAGGAGAGAGGACUAAGGUAGAGUUUGAAACGGUGUGUUUUUAGUCUGCAUCGAAAUAUGGGGAGGGAUUCUGCUGUCCUGACAGCGGUAGGCAAGUAAUUCCACCACUGAGGAACCAGAACGGAAAACAGGCGUGAACCUGCAGCGCGACUGCCAGGUGCUCGACUAGAGCUGGCUCACCGGAGUGGUUUUGCUGGGGACUAGGGAGCAAUUAAAGAUUGUAUGUAAAGUGGGCAGUCCCCUUAGCAGCCUAUUUGACUCACCUGAAUCUACUAAUUAGCAAGAUCUCUCGCUGUUGAAUGAGGUGCGCUUUGUGAAAACCUACAGGACGGUAGAUUUCCAGGAACAGGCUUGGGCAGCCCUGCACUAGCUGUUGAAAGAUAUGUGCUUUGUUUGGUUUGGAGUGAAAAGGGGGGGAAAUAGAAUAAUUGUUACAAAAAGUAGGUGUGCACAAUUAUUAUGCAACUGGGAAAUACAUUGUUUUUUCCAUUUAUUUC